CGCCCCAAUUUUUUUUUUUUUAAGAAAGAAAGUUAUAAUAACCUGUUUGGAAAAGCCCAUUAGUGGUACAUCAUUAUUUGUUUCUUGGCGCCAGAACAAUGAAUGCAGUGUAUAGCUGCCUAUAAACUUUUCUUAUUGCUACAGAGCUGAUCAGCCGCAGUGAAGUAACCUGAGGUGUGUUCUAUGUUCCAGUGCAGGAGUCUAGCUAGAAGGACCUUGAAGGGAAUAGGACUUAUCUUCCUACUCGACAUGGGCAUGGUCAAGCUCUGCAGUGAUAAUUGUAGGUGUAAAUGUGGUGAGCAAGAGUCAAUGAGGAAAUGUUGCAACUUCCAACGUGAACUACAUGGCAUAUUGAUGAAAGUUAACUACGGAAGGAGAAGGAGAAUUUGACCACUCAAGUGAAAUGGACAAACUCCUAGAAAGACACUGUAACUGAUUCAAGAAGAAUUAGGAAAUCUGAAAAGACCUAUAACAAAUAAAGAAAUUAAAUUAAUAA
Molecule: long non-coding RNA, 496 nt
Organism: Callorhinus ursinus (northern fur seal)
Lineage: Eukaryota; Metazoa; Chordata; Mammalia; Carnivora; Otariidae
Source: RefSeq, a predicted model, not a curated record